Molecule: long non-coding RNA, 1795 nt
Organism: Vigna radiata var. radiata (mung bean)
Lineage: Eukaryota; Viridiplantae; Streptophyta; Magnoliopsida; Fabales; Fabaceae
Exons: 2
Source: RefSeq, a predicted model, not a curated record
CAAGUGGAAAAGGGGGUGUGAAUAUGAGACAGGGGGUCUGCAACUGAAUUUUAAUACUUAUAACAGAUUGGACCAAAGCCUAGGUGGGAAAGGAGGCUCGAUUUAGCAGAAACCGGGGUGCAGAAAAGGUUUUNUGUUUGAUUGCAGAUUGGGUCUAAGCCCAUAUAGAAAGGGGUAGUGCAAGCAUGAAUGCAGCGCGUCCGGAAGAAAAAAAUUCAGCCCACCAGCCAAACCCGCAACAUCUUCUGACCUAAAAACCUAUAGGGGUCAAGCUUCCUCCACUUCAUUUCAACACUUCAGCCUCAAAAGACCUAGAGUCUCUCCCUCACUCUGCCAGCAACGUCAGGAGUCNUCGGUGACUACCACCGGCCANGAGUCACCCUCCCUCGCGCUAGGGUUACGCCACCGCGCCACCCCUCGCGCCAACCUCGACCUCGCCGGCGAAAACGGGUGUCACCGGAGCCAAAGCCGGCCACCGUGUCGUCUCCCAUCUCCCUCUCGCUUCGUCCUAGGAUUGGGGUUUCCACCCUUGAGCACCGUCGGCCACCACUGCUUCGAAUCCAACCACCGUGCCACCCUCUUCUCUCUUCGACGCCGACGAGCUNUGUCGCUGCUGGUNAGCUCCUCUUCCUCUCUCCUCAUCUUCUUCGCGUGAGAGGAAACAUCGCACUCCACGCCACGCCUCCGACGCCACCACGAGGCCGGACGCCGCCGCGAAUACCGGUUGUCGCGCCGUCAAGCUCUUCUCCCCUGCUCAAUGCUGCAACUCCCAACCGCUAUUACCGACGCGCAUCACUAAUCUUCCCCCUUUUCCACUAUUACUUCCUUGAUCGCUGAAUGGGGCUGAAUAGAGGAUGGAAGAAGGUAAACGGCGCUCGGUCAUGGAGAGAGUGAUGGUUGGCAUUGGAGUGUUAUGUGUGAGGAUUGAGGGAGGUUGAAUGGUGAUGAGGGUUGUGAUAGUGAGUAUGAAAGUGAUAGUUGACGAUAGACGAGUGGAAGACGAAAAUACAGAACCAGACCAAAUAACAUCCCAAUAUAGUCAUAUGUUUUUUCCAAACACCAGCAGAUAAACCAAGCAAAGCAGUAUCAAACUAAGGAUAAGCCAAUCACAGUACUAAUAUCCAAGAUUGUAAACAUUCAUGUUUGUGAGCAGUGAAGCUUUAAGGAUGAGGACUUACCUUUUCCGUUUGCGUUUUACUCUUGUAAGCCCUGUAAUCUUUUUUCUUGUGAUUUAACUCCACUUCUUUUUCAAUGGCCUUGGUGUUAGACUAGAGAAACACUGCUUCGUAAUUGUAAGGAGAGUGGCCAUGAAAAAUGGAUUCCGAUUUUUGGUCGAGGUGAAUCAUCGUAAUGGUACUCUCUAGAGUGCGGUAAUGAGAUGUUGGAGGUGAAUAAUUGGAAGUGAAAAGGGAAAAAUGGUUGGAGUCGAGAGGAGCCAAGANAGUCUAGGGGUUUCUGUUGAGUGAGUCCACAGUGAUUGGAGAAGNCGUCCGUGCCUUCUNUCUGAUGGUCAAGGUUCUCAUGAAGCCAAUUCCCCUCUGCCUCUUGGAUCAUACAGGCGUAUCCUCUGACUUGAGAUAUCUUUUUUUGUCCUUUUCCUUUUUCAUGUUUUUCAUGUUUUCACUAUAUCGUUGGAAGAAGCUUGUUCAAAAUAUCAUUCCCCUUUGAUGUAUGUGUUGUCUGUGCUUUUCGUUGCAGGAGAGUUGAAUGUGUUAUGUUGUAAGGAAGCUUAAUUGGUGCUUGGUGAUUGCGUGACUGAGAAAGGGAAGAAAGCAGCAAACCUUGGCGUUUUUUU